RNAcentral lists this ribosomal RNA (330 nucleotides) under uncultured bacterium. Its description in RNAcentral is "bacterial SSU rRNA". It matches the Rfam family "Bacterial small subunit ribosomal RNA", at positions 28 to 334 of the family's 1533-position model. The record is from RNAcentral.
GAUGAACGCUGGCGGCGUGCUUAAUACAUGCAAGUCGAGCGAAGCACUUUAACGGAAUUCUUCGGAAGGAAGGUAAAGUGACUGAGCGGCGACGGGUGAGUAACGCGUGGGUAACCUGCCCUAGACAGGGGGAUAACUAUUGGAAACAGGUGCUAAUACCGGAUAAUAAAGCAGAUCGCAUGAUCAGCUUUUGAAAGGCGGCGUAAGCUGUCGCUAAGGGAUGGCCCCGCGGUGCAUUAGCUAGUUGGUAAGGUAACGGCUUACCAAGGCGACGAUGCAUAGCCGAGUUGAGAGACUGAUCGGCCACAUUGGGACUGAGACACGGCCCAA